This 484-nucleotide ribosomal RNA is filed under the name uncultured bacterium. RNAcentral describes it as "partial 16S ribosomal RNA". It matches the Rfam family "Bacterial small subunit ribosomal RNA", at positions 30 to 507 of the family's 1533-position model. The record is from RNAcentral.
AUUGAACGCUGGCGGCAGGCCUAACACAUGCAAGUCGAGCGGAUGAAGGGAGCUUGCUCCUGGAUUCAGCGGCGGACGGGUGAGUAAUGCCUAGGUAUCUGCCUGGUAGUGGGGGAUAACGUCCGGAAACGGGCGCUAAUACCGCAUACGUCCUGAGGGAGAAAGUGGGGGAUCUUCGGACCUCACGCUAUCAGAUGAGCCUAGGUCGGAUUAGCUAGUUGGUGGGGUAAAGGCCUACCAAGGCGACGAUCCGUAACUGGUCUGAGAGGAUGAUCAGUCACACUGGAACUGAGACACGGUCCAGACUCCUACGGGAGGCAGCAGUGGGGAAUAUUGGACAAUGGGCGAAAACCUGAUCCAGCCAUGCCGCGUGUGUGAAGAAGGUCUUCGGAUUGUAAAGCACUUUAAGUUGGGAGGAAGGGCAGUAAGUUAAUACCUUGCUGUUUUGACGUUACCAACAGAAUAAGCACCGGCUAACUUCGUG